Calliphora vicina (urban bluebottle blowfly) is the source of this 394-nucleotide long non-coding RNA. RefSeq lists it as uncharacterized. The transcript is spliced from 2 exons. The record is from RefSeq and is a predicted model, not a curated record. NCBI's taxonomy places the organism in Eukaryota, Metazoa, Arthropoda, Insecta, Diptera, Calliphoridae.
GAGAGUUCUGCUGUGUGUGUCAGUCAAACAGAGCAGAGUGUUAUAAUUUAAUUCGCAAUAGAAAGGUGUAUAAAAGUAUCUGACAGAUACACUUUCAGUUUGUUUAGUUAAGCCAAAGACAACGAACGGACGGAUGCAAAACGACGGCUGGCCGCGACAAUGAAUUGUUUGUUGUAUGUUGUGCGAGAUAUUACAGAUGCAGAUGUAUAACAACAGCAACAACCAAAAAUAAUAAUAAUAAUAAUAAAAGAAGAAGAAAUUUCCAACAACAAAUCUAAAGCAAAGAAAGAAGAGGUUGUGACAAACAAACCAAAAAAAAAAAAAAAAAAAGCAACAACACAAAACCAUAAUAAAAAAUUUAAGUAUCUCAUAGAUACUUCUUCAUACAAUCAUA